ACUCAAAGGAAUUGACGGGGACCCGCACAAGCGGUGGAUGAUGUGGAUUAAUUCGAUGCAACGCGAAAAACCUUACCUACCCUUGACAUGUUCAGAAGCUUGAAGAGAUUUGAGUGUGCCCGAAAGGGAACUGAAACACAGGUGCUGCAUGGCUGUCGUCAGCUCGUGUCGUGAGAUGUUGGGUUAAGUCCCGCAACGAGCGCAACCCUUGUCGUUAAUUGCCAUCAUUUAGUUGGGCACUUUAGCGAGACUGCCGGUGACAAACCGGAGGAAGGUGGGGAUGACGUCAAGUCCUCAUGGCCCUUAUGGGUAGGGCUUCACACGUCAUACAAUGGUCGGUACAGAGGGUUGCCAAGCCGCGAGGUGGAGCCAAUCCCAGAAAGCCGAUCGUAGUCCGGAUUGCAGGCUGCAACUCGCCUGCAUGAAGUCGGAAUCGCUAGUAAUCGCGGAUCAGCAUGUCGCGGUGAAUACGUUCCCGGGUCUUGUACACACCGCCCGU
This 499-nucleotide ribosomal RNA is filed under the name uncultured bacterium. RNAcentral describes it as "partial 16S ribosomal RNA". It matches the Rfam family "Bacterial small subunit ribosomal RNA", at positions 899 to 1397 of the family's 1533-position model. The record is from RNAcentral.